AAGUACAUAUGAAUCAAGAAGUGACACUUUGCUCUACACAUUCAUUGAAAGGGGAAAAUUUGUUCCAAAAUUUCACAAGCCUACUACUCUUCCAAAAAUUGUGCCCAAGAGGCUCAGAGAACUUGGUCAAAAAAAGCUGGCAUCCAUGUGUACCAGAAGAAGAAGGACAUGUGAUUGAGAUCCAAGAUUUAUUUGGCCCAAACUUAGAUACCAAGAAAAAGCCUCAGUUGGUCAUAAUAGAAGGGGCUGCUGGCAUUGACAAGUCAACACUGGUCAGGCAGGUGAGGAGAGCCUGGAAGGAAGGUCAGCUCUACAGGGAUCGCUUCCAGCAUGUCUUCUUCUUCAGCUGCAGAGAGCUGGCCCAGUGCAAACAGCUGAGUCUGGCUGAGCUCAUAGCACAAGGCCAGGAAGUGCCCACAGCUCCCAUCAGUCAGAUCCUGUCUCACCCUGAGAAGUUGCUCUUCAUCCUGGAUGGCAUAGAUGAGCCAGCAUGGGUCUUAGAGGACCAGAAUCCUGAGCUAUGUCUGCACUGGAGUCAAACACAGCCUGUGAACACUCUGCUGGGAAGUUUACUAGGAAAAUCCAUCCUUCCUGAGGCUUCCUUCCUGCUCACAGCUCGGAACACAGCUCUGCAGAAGAUCAUUCCUCCCUUGAAGCAGCCAUGUUGGGUGGAAGUCCUAGGAUUCGCUCAGUAUGAACAGAGAAACUAUUUUUGCAAUUAUUUUGCAAAUGAAAUAGAUGUAGUUACUGCUUUUAGGAUGUCUGAGUCUAACCCAGUGCUCCUGACCCUGUGUGACGUUCCCUGGGUGUGCUGGCUGGUCUGCACUUGCCUGAAAAAGCAGAUGGAGCAGGGUGGAGACUUCUCACUGACCUCACAGACCACCACAGCCCUCUGCCUGAAAUACCUUUCUCUGACAAUCUCAGGUCAGCACAUGAGGACCCAGCUCAGAGCCCUCUGCUCACUGGCUGCUGAGGGGAUCUGCCAAAGAAGGACCCUGUUCAGUGAAAGCGACCUCUGUAACCAAGGGUUAGCAGAGGAUGCCAUUGCCACUUUCCUGAAGAUUGGUGUUCUUCAAAAGCAGCCCAGCUCUCUGAGCUACAGCUUUGCCCACUUGUGUCUCCAGGAGUUCUUUGCAGCAAUGUCCUACAUCUUGGAGGACAGUGAGGAAAGACAUGGUGAUAUGGAAGAUGACAGAAUUGUGGGAACACUGGUAGAACAGUAUGGAAGAUACAACCUGUUUGAGGCACCCACUGUGCGCUUUCUAUUUGGUCUUUUGAGUAAAGAGGGAUUGAAAGAAAUGGAAAAGUUCUUUCACUGCAACUUUUCUAAGAAGACAAAGUUGAAGCUGCUAUGGAAGAUCCUGGCAAAAACCCAACCCUAUCAACCACCUUCUAUGGGUUUGCUCUACUGUCUGUAUGAAAAUCAGGAAAAGGAGCUCCUGACACACGUAAUGCAUGAUCUUCAAGAAACAAUAGUGCCUGACCCAAAUGACAUUGCACACACAGUGUUCCAGACAAAUGUGAAGCACCUGGUGAUACAGACAGACAUGGAGCUCAUGGUGGUCACUUUCUGCAUUCAGUUCUGCUGCCAUGUGAGGAGUCUCCAGGUGAAUAUGGAAAGACAGCAAGGAUAUGCACUGAUGGCCCCAAGGAUGGUCCUACUGCAGGAGGGCUGUAAAACCCUUAGAUACCCUGACUGCCAACUAAAGAUCUUGUGGCUUAUUGAAUGUGGCCUCACAUCCACACACUGCUCACUCCUGGCCGAAGUGCUCAGUGUCCACUCCAGCCUGACUGAGGUAGACCUGCAGCUGAAUGACCUGGGUAACCGUGGUGUGAGGCUGCUGUGUGAGAGGCUCAGGAAUCCUGAAUGCAACCUCAGCAUCCUGCGGCUGGACCAGGCCUCUCUCAGUGACCAAGUGAUGACAGAGCUCAGGACUCUGGAAGCAAAGACUGCAGACCUGCUCAUCUACAGCACAUGGAAGCCACAUGGAAUGGUCCCUACUACGAACAUGGAUAAAGAAGUAGGUGAUAGCCCAGCCUUAUUAAAGCAGCAGAGACAACAGUCAGAAGAGAAACGCAUGGAACCUCUGGGAACUGAGGACAACUUCAUGGGCCCUACAGGACCUGUGGCUACUGAGGUGGUAGACAGAGAGAGGAACAUGUACCUAGUUCAAUUGCCCAUGGCUGGUUCCUACCACUGUCCCAGUACAGGACUCCACUUUGUGGUGACAAGUGCAGUGACAAUAAGCAUUGAAUUCUGUGCCUGGAACCAAUACCUGGACAAGACUCCCUUUCAACACAGUCACAUGGUGGUUGGACCUCUGUUUGACAUCAAGGCUGAGCAAGGAGCUGUGACUGCAAUGUAUCUCCCUCAUUUUGUAGCUCUCCAAGAUAUGAUGGUGGACACCUCCUUGUUCCAUGUUGCUCACUUUCAAGAACAUGGGAUGGUCCUAGAAACCCCAGCAAGGGUGGGACAGCAUUAUGCAGUACUGGAAAACCCAAGCUUCUCCCCAAUAGGAGUUCUACUGAGAUUGAUUCCUGCUGUCAGACAACUCAUCCCUAUCACUUCAAUCACACUCAUCUACUAUCACCACUCUCUCGAGGACGUCACCUUUCACCUUUACCUGGUACCCAAUGACUGCACUAUUCGGAAGGCCAUUGAUGAUGAAGAAAUGAAGUUUCAAUUUGUGCGCAUAAACAAGCCACCCCCAGUAGAUGCUCUUUAUGUUGGUUCCCGCUAUAUCCUGUCUGGCUCAAAAGAGGUGGAAAUUAUCCCAAUGGAACUCGAACUGUGUUACCGAAGCCCAGGGGAAUCCCAGCUCUUCUCUGAGAUUUACACUGGACACAUGGGUUCAGGGAUUAAGCUGCAAAUCAGAGACAAGAGGUAUAUAAAGCUCAUAUGGGAGGCCUUGCUGAAACCAGAAUUUAACUUGGACCAUCUGUGUGACCAAAGGUUUUGUACUAUCCUGAAAAACAUAGUGAUCUCACCAGCAGGAGACCUCAGACCUGCUCUACCCAGGACUGCUUCAGCCCCCAAAGAUGCGCCUUCCUUGCUACACUUCAUGGACCAGCAUCGGGGGGAGCUGGUGACCUGAGUGACAUCAGUGGACCCUCUACUGGACAGGCUGCAUGGUCUGGUGCUGAGUGAAGAUUCUUAUGAGGCAGUGCGGGCUGAGACCACAAAUCAAGACAAGAUGAGGAAGCUCUUCAGCCUCAGCCAAUCCUGGAGUCAAGCCUGCAAAGACCAAUUCUACCAAGCUCUGAAGGAGACCCAUCCUCACCUGGUUAAGGACCUCCUUGAGAAACCAGGCAGGGUCUCUUUGUGA
Non-coding RNA from Arvicanthis niloticus (Nile rat), 3326 nucleotides. The record is from RefSeq and is a predicted model, not a curated record. Lineage: Eukaryota; Metazoa; Chordata; Mammalia; Rodentia; Muridae.